CCUUCGAUAGCUCAGUCUGGUAGAGCGCGGGACUGUAAUAUGUUACAUGUAAAUCCUGAGGCCACUAGUUCGAUCCUGGUUCGAAGGA
Molecule: non-coding RNA, 88 nt
Organism: Gymnopilus junonius
Lineage: Eukaryota; Fungi; Basidiomycota; Agaricomycetes; Agaricales; Galerinaceae
Source: the annotation of a GenBank genome assembly